AGUGAACGCUGGCGGUAGGCCUAACACAUGCAAGUCGAACGGCAGCACAGUAAGAGCUUGCUCUUACGGGUGGCGAGUGGCGGACGGGUGAGGAAUACAUCGGAAUCUACUUUUUCGUGGGGGAUAACGAAGGGAAACUUACGCUAAUACCGCAUACGACCUACGGGUGAAAGCAGGGGAUCUUCGGACCUUGCGCGAUUGAAUGAGCCGAUGUCGGAUUAGCUAGUUGGCGGGGUAAAGGCCCACCAAGGCGACGAUCCGUAGCUGGUCUGAGAGGAUGAUCAGCCACACUGGAACUGAGACACGGUCCAGACUCCUACGGGAGGCAGCAGUGGGGAAUAUUGGACAAUGGGCGCAAGCCUGAUCCAGCCAUACCGCGGGUGAAGAAGGCCUUCGGGUUGUAAAGCCCUUUUGUUGGGAAAGAAAAGCAGCAGGUUAAUACCCCGCUGUUCUGACGGUACCCAAAGAAUAAGCACCGGCUAACUUCGUG
This 490-nucleotide ribosomal RNA is filed under the name uncultured bacterium. Its description in RNAcentral is "partial 16S ribosomal RNA". It matches the Rfam family "Bacterial small subunit ribosomal RNA", at positions 29 to 507 of the family's 1533-position model. The record is from RNAcentral.